UACGUAGGGCGCAAGCGUUGUCCGGAAUUAUUGGGCGUAAAGAGCUCGUAGGCGGUUUGUCGCGUCUGUCGUGAAAGCUUGGGGCUUAACCCCAAGUCUGCGGUGGAUACGGGCAGACUAGAGGCAGGUAGGGGAGAACGGAAUUCCCGGUGUAGCGGUGAAAUGCGCAGAUAUCGGGAGGAACACCGGUGGCGAAGGCGGCGCUCUGGGCCGGAACUGACGCUGAGGAGCGAAAGCGUGGGGAGCAAACAGG
This 253-nucleotide ribosomal RNA is filed under the name uncultured bacterium. RNAcentral describes it as "partial 16S ribosomal RNA". It matches the Rfam family "Bacterial small subunit ribosomal RNA", at positions 524 to 776 of the family's 1533-position model. The record is from RNAcentral.